UUUAUAUGAGAGUUUGAUCCUGGCUCAGGAUGAACGCUGGCGGCGUGCCUAAUACAUGCAAGUCGAACGAGUUCUGAUUAUUGAAAGGUGCUUGCAUCUUGAUUUAAUUUUGAACGAGUGGCGGACGGGUGAGUAACACGUGGGUAACCUGCCCUUAAGUGGGGGAUAACAUUUGGAAACAGAUGCUAAUACCGCAUAAAUCCAAGAACCGCAUGGUUCUUGGCUGAAAGAUGGCGUAAGCUAUCGCUUUUGGAUGGACCCGCGGCGUAUUAGCUAGUUGGUGAGGUAACGGCUCACCAAGGCAAUGAUACGUAGCCGAACUGAGAGGUUGAUCGGCCACAUUGGGACUGAGACACGGCCCAAACUCCUACGGGAGGCAGCAGUAGGGAAUCUUCCACAAUGGACGCAAGUCUGAUGGAGCAACGCCGCGUGAGUGAAGAAGGCUUUCGGGUCGUAAAACUCUGUUGUUGGAGAAGAAUGGUCGGCAGAGUAACUGUUGUCGGCGUGACG
This 510-nucleotide ribosomal RNA is filed under the name Lacticaseibacillus rhamnosus. RNAcentral's name for it is "bacterial SSU rRNA". It matches the Rfam family "Bacterial small subunit ribosomal RNA", at positions 1 to 474 of the family's 1533-position model. Lineage: Bacteria; Bacillati; Bacillota; Bacilli; Lactobacillales; Lactobacillaceae. The record is from RNAcentral.